AAAAGAAAACCCUGCAAAUAAUUUUGCAGGGUCCUUCCAUCUCCUUUAUAAGGAAAGAAGGCAAAGGGAGAGGAGAAACCGGAGGAAGAACUUAUGGGGAAACGUAAGUCUUCUCCGCG
Molecule: non-coding RNA, 119 nt
Filed under: Robertmurraya massiliosenegalensis
Lineage: Bacteria; Bacillati; Bacillota; Bacilli; Caryophanales; Bacillaceae
Description: ylbH leader
Rfam family: ylbH leader
About the family: This family is a putative regulatory RNA structure that is found upstream of the ylbH gene in B. subtilis and related low GC Gram-positive bacteria.
Source: RNAcentral